GCGGUGUAGCUCAGUUGGUUAGAGCACAGGCUUCAUAAGCCUGGGGUCGCCGGUUCAAGUCCGGCCGCCG
Molecule: transfer RNA, 70 nt
Filed under: marine eukaryotic metagenome
Rfam family: tRNA
About the family: Transfer RNA (tRNA) molecules are approximately 80 nucleotides in length. Their secondary structure includes four short double-helical elements and three loops (D, anti-codon, and T loops).
Source: RNAcentral